RNAcentral lists this ribosomal RNA (440 nucleotides) under uncultured bacterium. RNAcentral's name for it is "partial 16S ribosomal RNA". It matches the Rfam family "Bacterial small subunit ribosomal RNA", at positions 338 to 795 of the family's 1533-position model. The record is from RNAcentral.
CCUACGGGUGGCAGCAGUGGGGAAUAUUGCACAAUGGGGGAAACUCUGAUGCAGCGACGCCGCGUGAGUGAAGAAGUAAUUCUGUAUGUAAAGCUCUAUCAGCAGGGAAGAAAAUGACGGUACGUGAGUACGACUCCCCGGCUAACUACGUGCCAGCAGCCGCGGUAAUACGUAGGGGGCAAGCGUUAUCCGGAUUUACUGGGUGUAAAGGGAGCGUAGACGGAAGGGCAAGUCUGGAGUGAAAGGCGCGGGCUUAACCCCCGGACUGCUCUGGAAACUGUGCGGCUGGAGUGCAGGAGAGGUAAGUGGAAUGCCUGGUGUAGCGGUGAAAUGCGUAGAGAUUAGGAGGAACACCAGUGGCGAAGGCGGCUUACUGGACUGUAACUGACGUUGAGGCUCGAAAGCGUGGGGAGCAAACAGGAUUAGAUACCCGUGUAGUC